UUGGCUGGGGUUUGCAUGUUUUAUUGGAACUGUUUUAUCCCUGGAGACAAUGGCAGAUUGUUUCUGCCGCGCGCAGAAGGAUCUUGUUCUGGCAGGCCGGCUUCCAGUCAACAAGCUCCACAUCCUCUGCGAGGAAGCAUGCGUGUGCUUUGUUCCGACCUGACUUUCCUGAACCUUUCUCAGCCAGCCCCUCAUCUCGGCCUGCCAUGUCAGUGCUGUGGCAGGCUGUGCGAGCUCGCGCGAAACUGAAACCAAACAGACUCGAGAGUUUGCGGUAGGCACCUAACCCAAGACCGGCCAGGGAAGGAGGUGGCUACUGAGAUCCCCCGGCCCAGCCGCCCUCGACAGCACGCUCCGUUCACACGACCUGACAGAAAAAGCCCUCUUUUCCUCCUACCUUUACCCUGUUCGGCAACCUUCAGACAGCAUGUAUUGGGUAAUCCUAACUGCCCCAGUCAGCCUCGAUGAGCUGCAAUGCCAGCAGGUAGGGAAGAAACCACCCUACAUUCUCCCCUCACCUCCCCAAGCCAUUAUCUCCUCCUGAACAUUGGCUGCACCACAGUUAGGAAGAAAGGAGUCACCCAACGUGGCCGCUAUGAGUUGGUCUCUUGGUGUCAAGAAAUCCGAACUAAGAACAGCUAAUUACCACGACCUCCAUACAGUCACAGCUCAGAAAGCACGACGUACUUCAGCUUAUUAGACCUUUUUUUCUUUUCUUUUCUUUUUGGGGCUGAGCAUGGCACCCACUCAAUUUUCAUCAGACCACCUGGGAGGCAGGGGAAGGAAGACUGCAAGUUCCAAACCGUGCUGGGCUACAAAACAAGACCUUGUCUCAGAGAAAAAAAAAAAAAAGAGAAAAAAAAAAACUACAACAUGGAGAUAGAAUUAAAAGAAGGAAACGAAGUCAAUCAAAGUUAAGGUGGUCACACAGAGGGGAAUGACCAAGCUGGUUAUUAUAGCCCAUUUUCCAGGGUGCCACCUACUGUUGGAAGGUCCAACUGUUUUCAAGUGCUGGUUUCAGUGUCCUACGAUCUGGUUACCCCCCUUGCUGUGGGCAUUGUUACUAUGUUGAACUAUCUCCUGUAACCAUGUGAUGAUAAGGAAUGUUCGCCAAUGGUUCCCGGUUGGCUGAAUAAAUGUCAACACACCCGGGUAGGGCACAGUGGGGUAGGUGGACCAAAGUUUGCAGGCUUGGAGGAGAGUUGGAUCAGGGAAAGGAGACGGGUACUGGAAGAGAAAGGAAGCCGAAAGCCACGAUGGGUUACCGUGGCUGGAUCGGCAUGAACGGCGGAUGAGAGAACAAGCAUUUGUGGGAUUAUGUCUGGGAAGUAGCCCAGACAGAAAUUAUUAGAGCAGAUGCUGUGGGAGGGGGGGCUUGGAGGCAAAGGUAGCUUAGGAGGUAAUCUCUGCCCUGUCCCACGUGAAAUAAAAUAUUCUAAAAUCUA
Molecule: long non-coding RNA, 1445 nt
Organism: Meriones unguiculatus (Mongolian gerbil)
Lineage: Eukaryota; Metazoa; Chordata; Mammalia; Rodentia; Muridae
Exons: 2
Source: RefSeq, a predicted model, not a curated record